GCUGCUAUUGCCUCCUGUGGCUGCUGAAGCCUAGUCACACCUGGCUUGACUGCUCCUGCAGCUACCACACCCCCAAGCUUUCUGUGGCUUCUGCUAACCUGCUCCUGUUUUAGCUGUCCAUAGCUCAAAAUCCUUCAGAGGCAAACAAGAACAGAGGAUCAAGAGAACACCCUGGGUGAAGAGACAAUAAUGGUCUUCAUCAGAGUCUCCAAUAAAGGAAGAAGAAAUUUAGGGUGAUGAUUUUGCUUUGACAAAGGAGCAAGGUGGCACAGAGAGAGAUAGUUGCAUAUGGAAUCAUAAAGACAAGUUUCAUUUGGGCUCCAGACAUUCAUUAGUUGUGUGACACUGGAAGAACUACUAAAAUACUCAGCUUCAGUUUUGUCAUCUGGAAAAUAGGGAUAAUGUUCACAGUUACCUUACAGAGUUGUUAUGAGGAUCAAAUGAGAUAAAAGGCAAAUCACUUUGCAAGCAUUAAAACUCAAUAUAAAUGAUAUUAUUUAUAUAAAUGUUGCAU
RNAcentral lists this long non-coding RNA (514 nucleotides) under Monodelphis domestica (gray short-tailed opossum). RNAcentral describes it as "lncRNA (ENSMODG00000035988.2)". Lineage: Eukaryota; Metazoa; Chordata; Mammalia; Didelphimorphia; Didelphidae. The record is from RNAcentral.